UCCGAAGGUGUCCGUAGAAUUAACAUGGAUCGAAACCGGGAUUUGUCACUCCGUGUGACCAAGAGGUAUCUCGGGGCCCACUCGGUAAUACAACAUCACAAACAAGUCUUGCAAGCGAUGUGACUAAAUUGUUAACCACAGGAUCUUGUAUUACGGAACGAGUAAAGAGACUUGCCGGUAACAAGAUUGAAAUAGGUAUGGCGAUACCGACGGUCGAAUCUCGGGAAAUAAUACACCAAAGGACAAAGGGACUGAUAUACGGGAUUGUGUGAAUUCUUGACAUAGAGGUUCAACCCAUAAGAUCUUCGUAGAAUAUAUAGGAUCCAAUAUGGACCUCCAGGUCCCGCUAUUGGAUAUUGGCCGGAGAGUGUCUCGGUCAUGUCUACAUAGUUCUCAAACCCGCAGGGUCUGCACACUUAAGGUUCAAUGACGUUUUCGGUAUAGUUGAAUUAUUGAUGUUGGUAACUAAAUGUUGUUCGGAGUCCUAUAUGAGAUCCCGGACGUCACGAGUGUCUCCGGAAUGGUCCGAAAACGAAGACUGAUAUAUAGGAUUGUUGCAUUUGGCUUCCGGAAAUAUUUCGGGCAUUAUCGGUAAAAUAUCGGGAGUGAUGAAUGGGUUCCGGGGUUUUACCGGGAGGGGUCACCCACCCGGGAGAGGACCUAAU
RNAcentral lists this long non-coding RNA (665 nucleotides) under Hordeum vulgare. RNAcentral's name for it is "long non-coding RNA (HVUL_LNC007370)". The record is from RNAcentral. Lineage: Eukaryota; Viridiplantae; Streptophyta; Magnoliopsida; Poales; Poaceae.